CUACGGGCGGCAGCAGUGGGGAAUAUUGGACAAUGGGCGAAAGCCUGAUCCAGCCAUGCCGCGUGUGUGAAGAAGGCCUUCGGGUUGUAAAGCACUUUCAGUGGGGAAGAAAGCCUUGGGGCUAAUACCCUCGAGGAAGGACAUCACCCACAGAAGAAGCACCGGCUAACUCCGUGCCAGCAGCCGCGGUAAUACGGAGGGUGCGAGCGUUAAUCGGAAUUACUGGGCGUAAAGCGCGCGUAGGCGGUCUGAUAAGCCGGUUGUGAAAGCCCCGGGCUCAACCUGGGAACGGCAUCCGGAACUGUCAGGCUAGAGUGCAGGAGAGGAAGGUAGAAUUCCCGGUGUAGCGGUGAAAUGCGUAGAGAUCGGGAGGAAUACCAGUGGCGAAGGCGGCCUUCUGGACUGACACUGACGCUGAGGUGCGAAAGCGUGGGUAGCAAACAGGAUUAGAUACCCGGGUAGUC
This 464-nucleotide ribosomal RNA is filed under the name Vreelandella stevensii. RNAcentral's name for it is "partial 16S ribosomal RNA". It matches the Rfam family "Bacterial small subunit ribosomal RNA", at positions 339 to 795 of the family's 1533-position model. Lineage: Bacteria; Pseudomonadati; Pseudomonadota; Gammaproteobacteria; Oceanospirillales; Halomonadaceae. The record is from RNAcentral.